This 139-nucleotide ribosomal RNA is filed under the name Teratosphaeria fimbriata. RNAcentral describes it as "partial 18S ribosomal RNA". It matches the Rfam family "Eukaryotic small subunit ribosomal RNA", at positions 1694 to 1830 of the family's 1831-position model. The record is from RNAcentral. Lineage: Eukaryota; Fungi; Ascomycota; Dothideomycetes; Mycosphaerellales; Teratosphaeriaceae.
UGGCUCAGUGAGGCGUCCGGACUGGCCCCGGGAGGUCGGCAACGACCACCCAGGGCCGGAAAGUUCGUCAAACUUGGUCAUUUAGAGGAAGUAAAAGUCGUAACAAGGUCUCCGUAGGUGAACCUGCGGAGGGAUCAUU